CUACGGGUGGCUCCAGUGGGGAAUAUUGCACAAUGGGCGCAAGCCUGAUGCAGCCAUGCCGCGUGUAUGAAGAAGGCCUUCGGGUUGUAAAGUACUUUCAGCGGGAAGGAAGGGAGUAAAGUUAAUACCUUUGCUCAUUGACGUUACCCGCAGAAGAAGCACCGGCUAACUCCGUGCCAGCAGCCGCGGUAAUACGGAGGGUGCAAGCGUUAAUCGGAAUUACUGGGCGUAAAGCGCACGCAGGCGGUUUGUUAAGUCAGAUGUGAAAUCCCCGGGCUCAACCUGGGAACUGCAUCUGAUACUGGCAAGCUUGAGUCUCGUAGAGGGGGGUAGAAUUCCAGGUGUAGCGGUGAAAUGCGUAGAGAUCUGGAGGAAUACCGGUGGCGAAGGCGGCCCCCUGGACGAAGACUGACGCUCAGGUGCGAAAGCGUGGGGAGCAAACAGGAUUAGAUACCCUAGUAGUC
RNAcentral lists this ribosomal RNA (464 nucleotides) under uncultured bacterium. Its description in RNAcentral is "partial 16S ribosomal RNA". It matches the Rfam family "Bacterial small subunit ribosomal RNA", at positions 339 to 795 of the family's 1533-position model. The record is from RNAcentral.